ACUUGUUCAGAGAUUGAUCAAGCAAACCAGGAGUUUGAGUUGUAAGGCUGGACUGAAGCUGGAUGAAUAGAGCAUGUUAAGUCCCAGGGAGAGAGGCUGAUGAAAGAGCACACAAAAAGGGUCAGUGUCCACUGUAUGGCCCAGGCUAGUAUAAAAGUACCAAGAAGCACUGCAUGUGUAUCUCCUGACAAGAGUUUUGUGUGUAGAGCUACAGCAGUCUCCACUGUCACAGGAGAGAGAUGGAGAGAGAAGGAAUCUGAAUUUCUGGCAAGAAAAAGAAUCCCAAAACUUAGGAGCACUGCUGAAAACUGCUCAUGAAAAUUUUAAGAUCAAUUUUCAACAAGCAGUGGUAAUUUCUUUCAUAAAUACUGUUCUAUAUCCUUCAUAAAUAAAGCCAAACAAUGA
Molecule: long non-coding RNA, 405 nt
Organism: Pseudopipra pipra
Lineage: Eukaryota; Metazoa; Chordata; Aves; Passeriformes; Pipridae
Exons: 3
Source: RefSeq, a predicted model, not a curated record